Molecule: non-coding RNA, 54 nt
Organism: Danio rerio (zebrafish)
Lineage: Eukaryota; Metazoa; Chordata; Actinopteri; Cypriniformes; Danionidae
Source: Rfam
AUAUGACUCAUUUGUAAUACGCUUUGGAUAAAAGCGUCUGCUAAAUGACUAAAU